Molecule: ribosomal RNA, 253 nt
Filed under: uncultured bacterium
Lineage: Bacteria
Description: partial 16S ribosomal RNA
Rfam family: Bacterial small subunit ribosomal RNA
Source: RNAcentral
UACGAAGGGGGCUAGCGUUGCUCAGAAUCACUGGGCGUAAAGCGCACGUAGGCGGAUUGUUAAGUCAGGGGUGAAAUCCUGGAGCUCAACUCCAGAACUGCCUUUGAUACUGGCGAUCUCGAGUCCGGGAGAGGUGAGUGGAACUGCGAGUGUAGAGGUGAAAUUCGUAGAUAUUCGCAAGAACACCAGUGGCGAAGGCGGCUCACUGGCCCGGUACUGACGCUGAGGUGCGAAAGCGUGGGGAGCAAACAGG